CCUCUGGCUCCUCUACGGGUGUGCCGCCCAAAUGUGACAUUAGACGGCUCUGGGGUUACAUUUUUCGAGCUUUUAAUUCAAAGUAAAAGAAGAACUUUGCUUCACCUCCAAUCUGGGAAUUCCAGGCAGGUAUCGCCGAAGCCCUUCACACCGUUUAUCUCGAAGUCAUUCCAUAACCCUGCAGGUGCUAAGGAUCAGAGCCAUUAAGUGACCCAACCAGAAGCAAAGUAAAUGAUGGACAACCAAGAGGCAAACACUUAAUGGACUAUCAUGGAAAGGGUACAAAUGCAUUGAGAGUUGAACUCUGCAGUCGAGACUGAUGAUCAGCGAGAAGGUGAAAAGUUGACUUGCGGCAAGGACACUACCAGUUUCAGGAGUGAGGGAAAAGAGGAGCCUGAGUAUUCAGGCCAGAGCUCAUACUGAAUCCAAGAAAUGAGGCGGCGACUGGGGAAGGAGGUCUCUUCCAUCAAGAACCUGAAACACCAAAGUAAAAUAAUGUAAAAGACACCCUUAAACUGACAACAAGUUUCAAAGCUGGAGGGUUGAAUUUAAACGGCUUAUUUUAAGUUAAGCAUCUGAAAAUAUUGAAGUCUAAAUCAUGAAAAGUUACUCGUUAAUUGCAUCUGUGUUUGCUUGUCAGUUACUUAUUGAGAAGAUAAAGGCCGGUUCCUUCUUCAGCUUUGUCUUCCUGCGUUAGCUGAAAGCCCGCUGAGAUCAGAGACUCAAGAGGAAAUGGAUAGAAAUAAUGAAGCAAGACAUAUUUCUUCCUGUACUCUGGCAGCUUUUCCAGGCUGCCAAUUUUGAGUAAUAUAAAGCAUACGCAGGCAGGCAGUUAACUAUAUUAAGACGUACCUAGCACCAGAGGGAGUGGUGGGGAAGUUGAAACUCCCGCCAGAGAGCUAGUCUCUUGUUCCACCAUGUGUUUAGGUAUCAAGCUUAUCCUCCCCCUGGUCUUAGUUUUAAUGGGUUUUGAUUUCCUUGUGCUCCCGAACCUUGAGGUGGAAAUAUGAUCAUCCUGAACAUACUACUUACUUUUACCUGCGAACUUGAGCUUUAUUGGCUUAAAAAAAAAU
Leptonychotes weddellii (Weddell seal) is the source of this 1073-nucleotide long non-coding RNA. RefSeq lists it as uncharacterized. Lineage: Eukaryota; Metazoa; Chordata; Mammalia; Carnivora; Phocidae. The record is from RefSeq and is a predicted model, not a curated record.